RNAcentral lists this transfer RNA (91 nucleotides) under Bacteroidales bacterium. Its description in RNAcentral is "tRNA-Ser". It matches the Rfam family "tRNA". From Rfam's summary of the family: Transfer RNA (tRNA) molecules are approximately 80 nucleotides in length. Their secondary structure includes four short double-helical elements and three loops (D, anti-codon, and T loops). The record is from RNAcentral. Lineage: Bacteria; Pseudomonadati; Bacteroidota; Bacteroidia; Bacteroidales.
GGAGAGAUGCAGGAGUGGUUGAACUGGCUCGCCUGGAAAGCGAGUGUACUCCAAAAGGGUACCGGGGGUUCGAAUCCCCCUCUCUCCGCCA